CCAGAUGUAAGAGCUACUGAUGAUUAAUUGAGGAAAUGCAGGUGAAUUUGUGCAAAAUUAGGGAUGAAAAUUGAUUUUAUGAGGUCUGAGAGCAAGAGGAUCGUAAAGUGUAAAAGGAAGGCCUCAGGCCCUAUGUAUAGAAAAGGACCUGGGGCCCAGCUUACCUACCCUAAUGCGAACAACACAAAAUGCAAUAUGGUCCGCACCACAUAGUGUAAUUCAAAGUUUGAGAAGGCAACCACUGCGAUCCCGCACAAAAUGUAAUGUUGUCGCAAUGGUCCACCAUGGACCGCCCAAAAUGCAAUGCGGCCGCGGUGACAAACUUAGAGAGCUGGUAUUUUCGUCCUUCAUCAAUGCAUUUUGCACUGAUUUUGUGCCCCCCACACUAGUUCUUUGAGGCCGCACAACAUUCUGUGCGGUCUGCAUUGAAAACUUCAGAGACUUGACAAUUUUUCCACUAUCUCCUGCACUACAUCAACACAACCCUGCACAUCUCACAACAAGUCAGUCCAAAAAUAAAUCCUAUCCAACAAUGAAAAACAAAGAAAAACACAUGGGUUGCCUCCAAGAAGCGCCUGAUUUAACGUCGCGACACCACGCAUGUUACCAUCAAAUAAUUUGAGAUGAAGAAGUGCCACCAUGUGGCUGUUAUCAAUUUUUUCCAUGUAGUACUUGAAACAAUUUCCAUUCACUCGGAAAACUUCCCCAUUUUUGUUAUAUAAAUCAAGUGCACCAAACGGGGUCAUACACACCACUUCAAAAGGUCCACUCCAUUUUGACUUAAGCUUUCCCAGAAACAGAUAUAACCGAGAGUUGAACAAGAGAACCAAAUCACCCACUUUGAACUCCUUGCUACGAGCAUAUUUAUAAUGAAGGUACUUCAUCUUGUCCUUGUACAAGGAAGAACUAGACUAGGCAUGAAAUCAAAAUUCAUCAAGUUCAUUCAGUUGUUCCACACAAAGAUUGGGUGCAACAUCCCAUUGAAGAUUUAGCUUCCUCAAAGCCCACAUGGCCUUGUGCUAUAACUUGACCGGUAGAUGGCAAGCUUUCCCAAACACCAACCGAUAGAGAGACAUACCAAUUGAUGUCUUGUAAGCAGUCCUAUAAGCCGAUUAGCGUCAUCCAACUUCUUUGACCAAUCGGUCCUAUUUGCAUUGACUAACUUUAACAAUAUGCUUUUGAUUUCCUGUUGGAGACUUCGACUUGACCACUUGCUUGAGGAUGAUAGGGAGUAGAAACUUGUGAUUGACACCAUACUUUGCGAGCAAAGUGUCAAAAGAUCUAUUGCAAAAAUGAGACCCCCAUCACUGAUGAUUGCACGAGGAGUACCAAACCUUGUAAAAAUGCUCUUCUUGAGAAAUGCAAUAAUACUCCAGGCCUUAUUAUUGGGAAAAGCUACGACUUCAACCCACUUUGAAACAUAAGCUACCGCCACAAGAAUAUAUGUGUUCCCACAUGAGCUAACAAACAUGCCCAUAAAAUCAAUGUCCCAUACAUAAAAAAUAUCAACCUCGAGGAUGGUAUUGAUAGGCAUCUCAUCUUUCUUCGAAAUUCCGCUCGCUCUUUGACAUUCGUCACACCUCUUCACAAGUUCACUUGCAUAUUUAUGCAAAGCUGGCCAAUAAAACCCACAACUAAGAACUUUGGAAGCCAACCUCGCCCCGCCAUGAUGGCCACCAAAGGGAGAGGAAUGACAAUCCUGCAAGAUCCCCAAUUGCUCUUCCUCCGGGACACAUCUUCGGAUCACACCAUCCGUGCAAAUAUUGAAUAAGUACGACUUAUCCCAAUAGAAAUCCAAACUAUCCCGCUUGAGCUUCUUCCUUUUGUUAGAAGAGAGCUCACACGGGAUUAUACCAGUCAAAAGAAAAUUAGCAGCAUCAGCAAACCAUGGCAUAUCAUUCAUUAACAACGGAAGGAGUUGUUCGUCGGGAAAUGAAUCAUUGAUCUCUAGGCCAUCACGAGGCCUCCCCUCUUCCUCCAAGCGGGACAAGUGGUCCGCCACUUGGUCUUCACUACCCUUCCAGCCCAUAAUCUCCAUGUCAAACUCUUGAAGUAACAAGAUCCAUCGCAUUAGUCUAGCUUUGGAAUCCUUUUUCGUCAUCAAAUACCAGAGUGCGACAUGGUCGGUAUGAAUAAUAACCUUAGCACCCAUGAGAUAUGACCGAAAUUUUUCCAUUUUGAACACAACAGGGAAAAGUUCUGUCUCGGUCACCAUAUGGUUCACUUGAGCAUCAAUCAUUGUCUUGCUCGCAUAGUACACCAGAUGAAACAUUUUGUUCACUCUUUGACCCAAAAUCUCCCCAACCGCAAUAUCGCUCGCAUCACACAUGAGCUCGAAGGGUAAGCUCCAACUAUGUGCGGUAAUGAUAAGACUGUUGGUCAAUUUAUGCUUGAGAAAUUCAAAAGCUUGCAUACAUUUGUCAUCAAACACGAACUUGGCAUAUUUUUCCAACAACUUGCACAAGGAAUUCACUACCUUCGAAAAGUCUUUAAUAAAUCUCCGGCAAAACUCCGUAUGCCCAAGAAAACUUCGAGCUCCCUUGACAGAUGUAGGGUGAGGGAGCCUUGAAAUCACAUCAAUUUUUGAUUUCUAUGCCUCAAUACCAUGGUUUGGAAUUUUAUGCCCAAGAACUAUGGCCUCCUCCACCAUAAAGUGGCAUUUCUCCCAAUUGAGAACAAGAUUGGUUUCUUCAAAACAUGCCAAAACUCUAUCAAGAUUCUUCAAGAACUCAUCAAAUGAAUCUCCCACAACACUAAAGUCGUCCAUGAACACCUCAAAAAUGUCUUCCACCAUAUCGGUGAAAAUGGCCAUCAUACACCGCUGAAAUGUAGCCGGUACAUUACACAAACCAAAAGGCAUCCUAGAAAAGGCAAAUGGGUCAUAUGAACAAGUGAAUGUGGUCUUCUCCUGGUCUUCUAGAGCAAUCAAUAUUUAGUUGUAGCCAGACUACCCAUCCAAGAAAUAGUAGAAGGCACACCCAGCAAGUCGAUCCAACAUCUGAUCAAGAAAAGGUAAAGGAAAGUGAUCCUUGCGGGUCACUUUAUUCAAUUUGCGGUAGUCUAUGCAUACCCUCCAACCAGUUAUGGUUCUUGUAGGAAUCAACUUAUUUUGUGAAUUUGUAACCAUGGUCAUGCCAUCCUUUCUUCGGUACACAUUGCACCGGUGAAGUCCAAGAGCUAUCAAAGAUGGGGCACACAACCCCGGCAUCCAACCACUUGAUCACAUCCUUUUUCACAACUUCUUGCAUUUCCUCGUUCAACGUCCGUUAAUGCUCUAAGGAGGCCAUUGCAUCAUCUUUCAGAAUAAUCUAAUGCAUACAGAUUGCGGGGCUUAUUCCCCGAAUAUCAGCUAAAAUUCAUCCAAUUGCCUUUUUCCACUUUUGAAGCACCGACAAUAUGGUAUCAACCUAUAUGUUAGUAAGUCAAGAAGAAAGAAUAACUGGCAAAGUAGAAUUUGAUCCUAAGAACUCAUACCUAAGUUAUGGAGGCAGUGGUUUCAACUCCAACACCGGAGGCUGCUCAAUUGAAGGUUCUGUUGCUGGAGUAUUUCUAUUUAUGAGUCCAAAGAUGAUUUCCUAGGCUCAUAAGAGUAAGGUCCCAUCCCAUGUAAAGCAUUCACGCACUCCACUUGGCCCUUAUUAUCAUUGACAUCAAGAUUCAACAAUACGGCCUCCAAUGGGUCCUCCACAUUGAUCAUUGCACUGGUGUCAUCAAUUAUCACUGAUGUGAUGAGGUCCACAAAAGAUCACACUUCGGUACUGUUGGGCUGCUUCAUUGAUUUGCAUACAUGAAAGACCACCUUUUCAUCACCCACCCGGAAGGUAAGUUCCCCUGCUUCUAAAUCAACUAAGGCCUUCCCGUAGCAAAGAAAGGUCUCCCUAAUAUGAUAGGAACUUCAUAAUCCACCUCUCAUUCCAAGGUCACAAAGUCAGCUGACAAGAAAAAUUAUUCCACUCGGACAAGCACAUCAUCAACAAUACCCAAUGGUCUCUUCAUUGAUCUAUCCGCCAUUUAUAACCUCAUGGAAGUCGGCCUCGGUUGCUUGAUACUCAAAGAUUUAAAAUUUGAGUAGGACAUCAAAUAAAUACUAGCCCCCAUAAUACAUAGAGCUUCAGAAAAAUCUGCACUCCCAAUUGUGCAAGGAAUGGUAAAAACACCGGGAUCUUCAAGCUUCGGGGCCAUUGAAUAAACUAUAUCAAGAACUUGGUGAGUCAUCUUUAUAGUUUCACAAUCCAUAGACCGCUUCUUUGUAAUCAAGUCAUUCAUGAAUUUAGCAUAGACCGACAUUUUUUCAAGAGCCUCCACCAAAGGCACAUUAAUGGAAAAACUCUUCAUCAUGUCAAUGAACUUUUUAAACUGAUUCUCAUUUUCUACUUCGCGAUCCUUUGAGGAUAAGGUGGAGGUGGCCUUGGCAAAUGAGCCUUGGCUUUAGGCACAACCGACGUUUAUCAUUUAUUCCCUUUUAUGCGGGUUCACAUCAUUUUCAGUUUCCACCUCGGCAUCUUGAAUAUCGAUCCUCACUUCUUCAUUCACGUUCUCAUUAAUCACAUUUUCAACUUCGAAAGGAACUUCAUCUUCUUGCAACUCAACAUUAUCACACAAAACUUGCUUUUGUGUGGAGGCAUUCACAUCACCGCCUCGUCCACUUCUUGUAGUUACCGCCAUAACAUAAUUGUUUCCAACCUUCUGUUUCACUGCUAUAUCACUUGGUAGAGAACCUUUAGGGCGUGUAUUAAAGGACCGAGAGAUUUGGCCUAUUUGAACCUCCAAAUUGUGAUUGAGGUAUUGUUUGAAGCCAACUGUGCAUCAGAAUUCGCAUUCGUCUUCAUCAUUUGUUCGAACAUCAUUUCAAUUAUACCCAUAUUGUUGCUAGAAGAACUAGGACCUUGAGAUGGGAAUGUGGGUGAAUCGUUUGGUUGGUGGUACAUUGGGGGCCUUUGAAAGCCUUGCCCCCAGUUUCCUUGGUUUCCAUUGUUCCAUCCACCUUGAUUGUUGCUACCACCCCUAUUGUUGUUAUUACCAUUCCAAUUUCGUUGGUUGUUUUGAUUGUUAUUCUGACUGCCCUAGUUGUUGUUUUGGUUGUUAUUCUCCCAAUUACCAUUGCCUUGUUGUUGAUUGCCCUAAUUGCCUCGAGGUCUCCAUUGUUGUUGGUUGGAAGAAUUGCCUCCUUGGCCUUAAUAAUUAUUCACGUAUUGCACCUCUUCACUUUGUUCAUCAUAACCAUCAUUUUGAAAUCCACCACAAUCAUUUUCAAAUUGCUCCGAAUUCCCUUGAUUUUGUUGCCUCUUUGUCUUAUUUUAUUGACAAGCAUGUUGACACCGUCGAUGGGAUUAACUUGGCAAGGAUUUUGAACUUAAUGCAAUUGUUCCUGUCAAAUUGCUAUGUAUUCCCUUGAUUCUGUUGACCUCGUUGUCUUCUUUUGUUGACAAGUAUGUUGAUACCCUCCAUGGCAUUCACUUUGCGAGGAUUUUGAACUUGUUGCAACUGUGCCUUUGCUAGUUGGUUCAUUGUGGUUGUCAACUGAGCUAUAGCCUACCCAUGAUCAUGUAAUUCCUUGUGCAAAUGAGUAGCCGUGGGGUCACCCUAGGGCCUAUUGGCUCUACUUUGCCACACAAAAGAAGUGUCAACCAUCUCGUCAAGAAUAUCACAUGCGUCAUCAUACGACAACUUCAUAAAGUUGACCCCAUCAAGUUGGUUCACUAUGCAUUGAUUUGUAGUAUUAAUGCCCCGGUAGAAGGUUUGUUGGAUCAUCGCCACGGUCAUAUCAUUAUUGGUGCAUUCCUUUACCAUUGUUCUAUAACGCUCCCAAAUCUCAUGAAAAUGUUCCGUAGGCUCUUGCUUGAAGACCAAUAUCUCAUCUCUCAAUGAAUCAAUAUGUCCCGGUGAGAAAACUUUUGCAAUGAACUUGUCCGCCAACUCAUCCCAAGUAGUGAUGAAAUGGUUGGGAAGUCGCUCAAGCCAAAUGGGAAGAGCCUAUACCUAAGAUCAAGGAAAGGUCUCGCUAAUAUGAUAGGAACUUCAUAAUCCACCCGCAUUCCAAGGUCACAAAGUCAGCUGACAAGAAAAAUUAUUCCACUCGAACAAGCACAUCAUCAAUAAUACCCAAUGGUCUCUUCAUUGAUCUAUCCGCCAUUUACAACCUCAUGGAAGUCGGCCUUGGUUGCCCGAUACUCAAAGAUUUAAAAAUCGAGUAGGACAUCAAAUUGAUACUAGCUCCCAAAUCACAUAGAGCUUUAGAAAAAUCUGCACUCCCAAUGGUGCAAGGAAUGGUAAAAACACCGGGAUCUUCAAGCUUCGGGGCCAUUGAAUAAACUAUAGCACUAACUUGGCGAGUCAUCUUUAUAGUUUCACAAUCCAUAGACCGCUUCUUUGUAACCAAGUCCUUCAUGAAUUUAGCAUAGCCCGAUAUUUUUUCAAGAGCCUCCACCAAAGGCACAUUAAUGGAAAAUCUCUUCAUUAUGUCAAUGAACUUUUUAAAUUGAUUCUCAUUUUCUACUUCACGAUCCUUUGAGGAUAAGGUGGAGGUGGCCUUGGCAAAGGAGCCUUGUCUUUAGGCACAACCGGUGUCUAUCAUGUAUUCCUUUUUAGGCGGGUUCGCAUCAUUUUCAGUUUCCACCUCGGCAUCUUGAAUAUCAAUCCUCACUUCUUCAUUCACGUUCUCAUUAAUCCUAUUUUCAACUUCCAAAGGAACUUCAUCUUCUUGCAACUCAACAUCAUCACUCAAAACUUGCUUUUGUUUGGAGGCAUUCACAUCACCGCCUCAUCCACUCCUUGUAGUUACCGUCAUAACAUGAUUGUUCCCACCCUUUGUGUUCACUACCGUAUCACUUGUUAGAGCACCUUAGGAUGUGUAUUCAAUGACUGAGAGAUUUGGCCUAGUUGUACCUCGAGAAGACAAACAUGAUUGUUUCCACCCUUCAUUUUCACUACUGUAUCACUUAUUAGAGUUCUUUUAGGGCGUGUAUUCAAGGAACGAGAGAUUUGGCCUAUUUGAACCUCCAAAUUUCUAAUUGAGGUAUUGUGGUGAGCCAACUGUGCAUCAGAAUCCACAUUCUUCUUCAUCAUUUGUUCGAACAUCAUUUCAAUUAUACCCAUAUUGUUGCUAGAAGAACUAGGACCUUGAGAUGGGAAUGGGGGUGAAUUGUUCGGUUGGUGAUACAUUGAGAGCCUUUGGAAGCCUUGCCCCCGGUUUCCUUAGUUUCCAUUGUUCCAUCCACUUUGAUUGGUUCUACCACCCCAAUUGUUGUUAUUACCAUUCCAAUUUCCUUGGUUGUUUUGAUUGUUAUUCUGAUUGCCCCAGUUGUGGUUUUGGUUGUUAUUCUCGCAAUUACCAUUGCCUUGUUGUUGAUUUCCCUAACUGCCUUGAGGUCUCCAUUGUUGUUCGUUGGAAGAAUUGCCUCUUUGGCCUUAAUAAUUAUUCACGUAUUGCACCUCUUCACUUUGUUCAUCAUAACCAUAAUUUUGAAAUCCACCACAAUCAUUGUCAAAUUGCUCUGUAUUACCUUGAUUCUGUUGUCCUCAUUGUCUUCUUUUGUUGACAAGCAUGUUAGCACCCUCCAUGGCAUUCACUUGGCGAGGAUUUUGAACUUGUUGCAACUGUGCCUUUUCUAGUUGGUUCAUUGCGGUUGUCAACUCAGCUAUAGCCUGCCCAUGAUCAUGUAAUUCCUUGUGCAAAUGAGUUGCCGUGGGAUCACCCUAGGGCCCAUUGGCUCUACUUUGCCACACAAAAAAAGUGUCAACCAUCUCGUCAAGAAUAUCACAUGCCUCAUCAUACAACAACUUCAUAAAGUUGCCCCCAUCAAGUUGGUUCACUAUGCAUUGAUUUGUAGUAUUAAUGCCCCGAUAGAAGGUUUGUUGGAUCAUCGCCUCGGUUAUAUCAUUGUUGGGGCAUUCCAUUACCAUUGUUCUAUAGCGCUCCCAAAUCUCAUGCAAAAGUUCCGUGGGCUCUUGCUUGAAGGCCAAUAUCUCAUCUCUCAAUGAAUCCAUAUGUCCCGGUGAGAAAAAUUUUGCAAUGAACUUGUCCGCCAACUCAUCUCAAGUAGUGAUGAAAUGGUUGGGAAGUCGCUCAAGCCAAAUGGGAAGAGUCUCAACCUAAGAGCAUCCUAGGACACAUUAGUGUGCUUGCUCCCCUAACAUGUAUCCACGAACACCUUGAGAUGUUUGUAAGCAUUUUGAUUUGCAACACUCGUGAAAUACCCACGCUGCUCUAGUAAGGACAACAUCGCAUUAGUUAUUUGAAAAUUACCCGCCCGGAUUCGGGGUGGGACAAUAGCAUUUGGAUACCAUUGGUUCGGAAGCACUCUAGGAGCCACUCUUGGAGGUGGCGAAUGAGGGUAUGGAAUAUUGUUAUUAACAUUAGCAUUAUCCUGGUGGCCUCUACGUUGUCCUUGAGGUACAAGAGGCACCUGAUCAUCUCCGACAUAAUCUACCUCCUCCCACACAAUCACAUUUCCAAGAGGGUCGUUGCCGUUGUUAGCUGCCAUUUGGUACCUGAAGUUGUGACACACAUGAAUUAGUAACAAAGAAGGAAAUAAGACCAAUACACAAAACUAUUUAGAUAGAUAGCUAAAACCGUUAGCUCCUCGACAACGACGCCAAAAAAGUGAUCGAGGACAACCAUGUACUACUAUUGAGUAGUGAGAGAGGGUCGAAGUAGCUUUUACCUGAUUAAGGUCGAGAUCGAUUUCCACAGGGAGCUAGAAGUUGGAGUUGGAUUUCUAUCUAAAGUGGAGUUGUGUAUUUGCUCCGAAUUGCACUUCUAAACAUUUUUGGAUUUUGUUUUACUUAUAACUGUCACACCUCCUUUUUCCCAUCCCCGGAAGGGUAUAAAGGAGUUUUUUUCUAAUUAAAGGACAAUCGAAACGAAAUUUAUUAUUAAGCUUCAGAGUCGCCACUUGGGAGAUUUAUGGUGUCCCAAGUCACCGGUUGAAUCCCAAAUCGACGAAAAGAUUGACUCUGUUUAACGAUCCGCGAAAUCCGAGUAAUGAAUUCUGUUAAACGGGGAGAAAGUGUUAGGUAUUCCCGGGUUUCGUGGUUCUAGCACAGUCACUCAACUAUCAUAUUCGGCUUAAACUAUCCGAUUUUAAGCAUUUAUGAGCCUAUGUGUGAAUUUUAACCGUUAUUAUUAUUAUUAUUUUUACAGAGAAUUGCAACGUCGUUAAAAUACGUCUCGAACCGCGUCACAUAAAUGCACCCGUAAUUUUUUACACAUUUUAACACCGUCGCGAUUUGAAUUUGGAUAACAUAAAUGCGCACCCGAAUUUAGGAAAGUAAUAUUAUUAAACACGCACCUAAAGCAACUACGCUUUUGCACUUUGCGAGGGCCAUGGAAUUUGCUAAAUGACACGCCUCGGAAUCUAAGGAUCAAUUCAAGGUUAAAUAAAGCGAGGGCCAUGCAAUUAUCAUUUUUGUUUGGCAUGACGCACCUCAAUUAAUUUUAAAGGAAAGAAAUAUAUUUAUCAUUCCUAUUUAUAUCUAAAGAAAAACUAAUCUUCACAACUAGGUCACGAGAACCAUACGCGUAGUUCUAAUAGUCCUAUUGCGCGCCUAUAGGUUCGCCUACCUAUGAAAUACCAACAAUUUGGACAAAGCUUGCAUCCAGUGGUCUCGACAUACACAUGACAUUCGGUCGGCUUAAUGGUCAAUUCUUAUAAGAAACCAUACGGCCCAAUUCUAAAAGAAUGGGCCAAGUGACCAUAGUAGUCCAUUUCCUCAUAGUUCAAAAUCAGAAACACACUGAAUUCACUUACCUGACGCUGAACUUGACAGCCCCAAAAAUGUUACCAAAUUACUAUUUAACAUGAAGUAAAGGGAAAAGAAAAAUGAAAAAAUCAACAGAGGAAAAUCUACCCAGGCUUGAACAAGCAUAUGCAUAACAGUUAUUGCAAUCUCAUGUGGGAAUUUCUUUAUCAUAGGAAUCAGCGAGGCAAUAUAAAUCUAAGGAACAUUAAACACUCCAAUGGAAUAGCAGCAGACAAAGCUAGAAAAGCAAAUGAAAAUUGAGAAAGACAUAGAAAUGAGGGACUGGAACAUUAGCAAUAACAGAGGGAGGCAAUCGUAAAAAAAAAACCAAGCAGCAAGAACUCGAUGAAAUUCAGUCAGCUGGAAACUGCGUCUGAGACUGACCCAGAACCAAUCCACAAAUAGCCUCCAAUAUUUCAACAGUAUUCUGCCCAGGAAAUUAUUUAAACAAAAUAGAUUUUGGAUCAUUUUUGAAUCAUAUCAUUCGAGCUUGAAGCUAACAAAUCAACAACCACCGUUCGAGCACCUAACUCUGCCUUGACACGCGUCACUUCUAGACAUAUUCUGACUUCUCUUAGCAAUUGAAACACAGGAUAAAUAAAGGAUCCUACCGACAUGAUGAAUCAAUAAAAUGAACUUGUUCAUGAGUAGUUCGUGCAUAAUUUAUAUGAAAGAAACUCGGACAAAGCAGAAAUUACCAUUGAAAGCAGCGCUGGACAACAAACCAUGACAUUGAAACAACUAUGUAAAAAAAGGUUAAAAGCCAAAUCCGAGCACCAUACUUGGUUCAGAUGAAUUUCGAAGCUCAAAAGUUUGCAUAGCAAGGGAAUCAAACACGAAAUACAUCCGACUAUCCAGCCUUAGCGAAAAUUUGCACAGAAUCUGCUGAGAAGCAGGGCAUUACCAAAUUUUCUCCAAUUGACUAAAAAAUGUUUGAGAGCUGAGAUUAAUCUUAUCUCAUUCAAAGGUGAAAAAGAAUUGGAAGACAUGUGCCAAGAUAGUUUGUGCAUUUCAGCAUUAGUACAUAAACAAAACUAGAAAACUUGACUGACUGGCGUCUAAUACACAAAUAGGCAUGAAACUUAAAAGUACACGAGUCACUCAAACUCAUUCAGCUAGUAAGCAAAGCAAUUCUGACAGCCAAUGACAAAGAAAAUGAGCAAAGUUAAUCUUCAACCCCUAAACAUGUACAAACAAAAAUUAAACUAUGGUCGGACAGUGACUUUCAGGAUGUAAAUCAAAGAUCACAGCAAAAUAUGAACAUACAUAAUCCAUAUCUAAAAGACUAGCAUUCUGCAUGAAAACUGAAACACCAUAACCAAUCUUCUACAAGCCUCUCGACCCCAAAACUCAAACGCCAGAUGUUCUGUAUAUCCACAAACUAGACACCAACUCGAAAAGAACAGAAACACAGAACCAAACCAAUUAUAAGAAGAGAACAGUAGAAGACAAUUUCAGAGAACUCAUUUUAAUACGUACACAGCCAAACCAAGCCAGAAAUACGCAUAAAAAUGGCAAACAAAUACACUACGACCAACAGUCACCAAGAUUCAAAUAGUUCCAAACCAGCUGAACUCGAAUUCUCCAUAUAUUUCUGAAUCAAAUGCCAAAGAUAGAGGCUACAUGAGAUAAAAGACCAACCUGAAUCAGCAAACACUUUGGAUUAAUUUUAGUUGAAUGCUAAUACCAGUGAUAUCCAGCAGCAGAGAUCAAAACAACAGCAACUUUGAAAUCAUGAAAGCCCCAGACAGAAAUUUGAAGCAAGCACCAGGGUUUAACAAUCGACACAAACCAGCUUAACUUCAAUCGAGCUCCAUUUUAGAACAAGGAAUCAUGAAAAAACAAUGCUGAGAAUUUUGUUUUUUGAUUUUGUCGAAAUGAAAGUAAAACUCACAAAAUUGAAACUCAGACUAUAUUGCCUUUUUUUUUCUUUUCUUCAAAAAAUGCCAAUGAAGAUUCAAGACUAGAAACUGAAAAAAGACUUUCAGAACCCUAGACCCUCUCUCUGAAAAAUUCCCCCUUCUGAAAUCCCAAAAUUCCUCUAGUUAUCAGGCCAACACCUGAUGAAUGAAGCGCUGGGAUUAAUCGAAAUCGAUCCCACACUCUCCAUUCAUCCAGCAUAUGCCUUCUAGAGGCUUCCAUCACGUGAGAAGGGUGUGGGGAUGAGAGAAUAUGUUAAAGGUCGUUACAAAUAUGGUGACGAGUAGGUAGGGGGAACGCUUGAGGUGAGAUGGGAGCUCACUCGCGUGAAUUUUGGGCUGAAAUAGGGGCUUGGUUCGUGGAGAAGAACAGUCGCAG
Molecule: long non-coding RNA, 12039 nt
Filed under: Nicotiana benthamiana
Lineage: Eukaryota; Viridiplantae; Streptophyta; Magnoliopsida; Solanales; Solanaceae
Description: long non-coding RNA (NBEN_LNC019723)
Source: RNAcentral